Nilaparvata lugens (brown planthopper) is the source of this 156-nucleotide long non-coding RNA. RefSeq lists it as uncharacterized. The record is from RefSeq and is a predicted model, not a curated record. The transcript has 2 exons. NCBI's taxonomy places the organism in Eukaryota, Metazoa, Arthropoda, Insecta, Hemiptera, Delphacidae.
UAGGUACCGUAACAGCAUUUUGAUGAAGAAAUAAUAUGAAUAAGGUUCAGUAUUUGUUAAAGACAAACAUUAUUAAUAUUAAGGAUAGGUGUAAAAUAAAACAUGAUGGUAGAUUAACUCCCAAAGUAAAAAUCAAACAAGAAAAAUAUGAACAGG